CCCGCCGGCGACCGGCGCACGGGUGAGUAACACGUAUGCAACCUGGCCGCCACAGGGGGAUAACCCGCGGAAACGCGGCCUAAUACCCCGCGACGCCACCGGAGGGCAUCCUCCGGUGGCCAAAGGAGCGAUCCGGUGGCGGAUGGGCAUGCGGCGCAUUAGCUAGACGGCGGGGUGACGGCCCACCGUGGCGACGAUGCGUAGGGGUUCUGAGAGGAAGGCCCCCCACACUGGGACUGAGACACGGCCCAGACUCCUACGGGAGGCAGCAG
RNAcentral lists this ribosomal RNA (272 nucleotides) under uncultured bacterium. RNAcentral's name for it is "partial 16S ribosomal RNA". It matches the Rfam family "Bacterial small subunit ribosomal RNA", at positions 84 to 354 of the family's 1533-position model. The record is from RNAcentral.